AUUUGCCGGUUCCGACUCCGAUGCCGUAUGGACCGCCGAUGAUGCCUAUGCCGGUGCUUGGCAUGGCCGCGCCUGGUCAUGCUCACAGUUAUAUGGGUAUGCCUGUCACUCAUCCGGGAACCGCACAGGGAUACCAUGGCUUCGAAACGCAUCCCUAUAAUAUGAUGCAUCAGAGAGAUUGGUCGGGAAGCAAAUACGCCUCGAUCGUGCCUUACCCUCAUCCUCAUGUACCUCCUAAUACUAAUGAUAAGUGAAUUGGGCUAAUUUUCAGGUGUAAUGUAAGAUGCAUGACACAGUAGUUACAGGAGGCAAAGAGAUGGCCAAACCUGAUCACAUUGAAAAACUUGUUCAUACCCUCUGAUGAAUUAUAGAAGUAUCGAGCAGCACCACCGAAUCAACCUUGUCGGUGGAAUGGAUGUGUGUAUUGUGAUUUUCUCCUUAGGAUGACAUGAAAGGUUAAUUUUCCUAUGGUGAAUGCCUGAUUGGUUCUCUUGAAUAUAAUAGCUUCAUCUGCAGAGUUCUUUUAUAAGUUGUUCUAAUUAGUUGAAUUCAUCCAACUUUUUUUUCUCUAUUGAUUGACGUCAACUUAUGAUUAGCAUGCCAUUUGCAGAUGUCACACUGGAAGGAAUUGCUUUCCAUAAGGUCUCUGAAAUAAACAGUGGGUGCACAGAUGCUGAUAGGCAACACGUACUCGUAAAAUUUCAUAUCAGUUAUAUUAUUAUGUUGUCUAUCAGGAAGUCAACAAUUGCCAAUUAUUGAAUACCUUUGAGAUAUUUAAACUGUAUCUCCAAGAAGAUUGAGAUUAUCUACUUCAUUCUAGUUUGUGCUUUAACUCACAUAAACUUGAAUCACAACAGAUUUAAUAUCUGAACCCCUCAUUUUUGUA
Non-coding RNA from Momordica charantia (bitter melon), 886 nucleotides. The record is from RefSeq and is a predicted model, not a curated record. NCBI's taxonomy places the organism in Eukaryota, Viridiplantae, Streptophyta, Magnoliopsida, Cucurbitales, Cucurbitaceae.